This 1686-nucleotide unclassified non-coding RNA is filed under the name Dimorphilus gyrociliatus. Its description in RNAcentral is "dgyrCDS12394". The record is from RNAcentral. Lineage: Eukaryota; Metazoa; Annelida; Polychaeta; Dinophilidae.
AUUGUGUGUAAAAAUUCAGCUCGGACAGGAAGCCUUAUUAUGGAAAAAUUGGAAAUCCCUAAAAACGACAGAAAUCUUGAAUAAAUUGAAUAUUAUAGUGUAUCGUUCGAGAAUAAUUUGAUUAACUGUCAGGUGGUGGGAUCAAAAAUUGGAAGUAUAAAGAGAUUAUUUAGCUAAAAGUUUGGCUUUUAAUGUUCUCGUUUAAAAGUAAUCCGCAGGAAAAUUUUAGAUCAAAAUGAGUGGAUGUUAAUUAAAAUGAGUUAAGAAAAGAGAUUACUAAUAACUUAAAAGUAAUGCGUUACAGAGGUUUCCAACCGAGCAUAAUUUCCGAGUGGCUGUUGGAAUGUAAACAAGAUUCAUCCAAAAUUGAAUUGGGAGCUUAUGCGCAAACCAUUCGCAAUAAUGAUGAAAUUGUCAACACGUUAUAUGAACUAUUCGAAAAGUACCCUGAUCAUGACCUUAUUUCACCGGUCUGUCAUCAACUAUUUGAGUUUUAUAGAGCGUCUAAUGAUGAAUUAAAAAAAUUUACAUUGGAGCUUGUCCCAUCAUUAAUAGGAGCCUAUCUGACAUCAGUCUACAACAGAGAGACAAAAAGAGUAUGCUCCAUAGCCACAUGUUUGCUAGGAAUCUAUAAUAUGGAAGUCGUAGAAAAGGAGAGUGGACAAGCUAAAGUUCGAACAUACACAGUACCAACAGUAGCCACUGCGUCCUGUUAUCACGAACCACCAAGUUUGACAUCAUUAGUACUAAGCGACAGUGCACUAAUGAAUUACCAUCACGACAAGAACAUCACAUUCCAGCAGGGACCCUUCGAACAAAUCGAAGAGUUUUCGGCUCAAAAUAGAUUCAUGAUCCUCACACAGGUUCUACGAGCUUAUAAUAGCUUUAUAGCAGAACUAUCGUUGAAGUCCAGAACAAAUCUUUGCGAGUGGUCUUGCAGGCUUUUAAGAAGCGGUUACAAAGGAACUCUAUUCAACAACGCUGAAGCUGAAAUAGAGGAUAACUCCCCGAGAAUACCUUUUACGUCAGAAUUUCUUCUAGAACUCCUAGACGGAGUAUAUUUUGCAAUGUUCAAUGGAAGUGCGAAAGAGGGAAAAUCAGUAGUUAGCGAUGUGUACGUUAGAGCCGAAUACGAACUUUUAAAUGAAGUGUUACUGGUUACGAACGCUAUUGUAGACUCUCUUGCAGUAAAUCCAUCUGGCCAACCAGAAGACGGACCCAUAGGUAUAUCCAUAGCCUUAUCUUCUGCUGCAAGAGACGGUCGCCUGAGGAAAUCUGCUCUGACGAAUGCUUCUUUUAGAACCAAGCGUUUACAAGCAGAAGAAUCGGAUUCGCUUGAUACGACUGGGGAUGAGGACGCACCUCCUGAUUAUGAGCAGGCUACCAAAGCAGACGUAAAGGGCAAAGGAUCGAAAAAUGCUAUUAAAAACAUAGUCCGUAAAAAGCUCUCGGUAGAAGGAAAGAAAAGGGAAGAUAGCUCUUCUGUACUCGGAGAUAGCGUCGAUACAGCUAAAACAUCAUACGCAUCAUUGAGUGAUAUUGUUCCAGAAGAAGAAGAAAAUCAGUGGGAAAACCCAACAGACAAUAGUUAAUUUUUCAUGUAUUUUAUUUAGAUUUCGUUUCGAGUCAAAUAAACCUCAUGCUUUAUCUUACUAGUUGUUUAUAAAAUCUUAUCUUUAUUGUAGC